AUAUCUCUCUGUACGGGAAGGAUGAGAAGCUUCGACUAAGGUUCGAUUCGAGCGCAGCGAGAAAGCGUUGCCGCAGGCAACGACCCGAAGGGCGAAGCGCGCAGCGCUGAGUAAUCCUUCCCCUACCACCA
RNAcentral lists this small RNA (131 nucleotides) under Salmonella enterica. RNAcentral's name for it is "RtT sRNA". It matches the Rfam family "RtT RNA". From Rfam's summary of the family: This family represents a bacterial cis-regulatory element known as RtT RNA. The exact function of RtT is unknown although it is thought that it may be involved in changing the cellular response in relation to amino acid starvation. The record is from RNAcentral. RNAcentral also lists the same sequence under 1 other name. Lineage: Bacteria; Pseudomonadati; Pseudomonadota; Gammaproteobacteria; Enterobacterales; Enterobacteriaceae.